UGUAAACAAAACAGCCAGCAGCCGGUUCACUCAUACACGGGCGCGAACCAGCGAAGCUUCGCGAGUCUUCAUCGUGGCCUGGGGGAGGCAUCAAUUAGUUGGAUUUUGCACUUUGAGCUUCUAAGUAAUCAUAGCCAGUAAAAACACGACAUUCCGAAAGAACGAGCACUCCAAAAAACACCAACGUUCACCAAUUCAUAUUCACUAAGAGAAUGAUGAAAUUUAUUCCGCUCGCCGGUUACACCUCAUGGAACGUUCUUGGACCACCGCAAGAUAAACCAGAGAUGCCGGGAUGUCUGCAUACGCUAGUGUGUGUAGCGGAAUUUUCCCACACUUUUCCUCCUUGUCAGUGUCCCAUAUCAACACUCAUUGAUACAAGUCAUGCAUCUUCCAGCACUUGUAGUUCAAGACCAAGGUAUCGGUUCUCCUUGUGCAAAAGCAUCCACACUCAAAUGUUUGCAUUUUAUUCAUCAAACAUCGAGACACAUUAUAGCCCCGUGUUAAAUCUCUUUGGAAAAUGUGGCUGGUUUUUCUAUCACUGAUCAAGGAACAGAAAAUUUCGGAUUUUCAUUCAACUUAAAUUGGAAAAAAUAUUCUAAUGUCGAUCGGACUGUAUCAAAGGAAGCACUAAAGAUGCGUGUCUUCGCUGCCAGGCGGAAAGCAAGAAGGACACCUUAGGGCGCCAGGACUGUGUCGUCGUUUGGGGUGAAUGCAAUCACUCGUUCCACCACUGCUGCAUGUCGCUGUGGAUCAAACAAAACAAUCGCUGUCC
This is an RNA transcript of Armigeres subalbatus, 772 nucleotides long. It is a transcript of the gene named RING-box protein 2-like, with no coding region annotated. Lineage: Eukaryota; Metazoa; Arthropoda; Insecta; Diptera; Culicidae. The record is from RefSeq and is a predicted model, not a curated record. The transcript has 2 exons.